Molecule: long non-coding RNA, 7869 nt
Filed under: Triticum aestivum (bread wheat)
Lineage: Eukaryota; Viridiplantae; Streptophyta; Magnoliopsida; Poales; Poaceae
Description: long non-coding RNA (TAES_LNC001144)
Source: RNAcentral
GGCUGAUGAGAUUUGCUACUGGUACGUAGAUCGGGACGGCUGAUCAAUGGUCGAGAUUCAUAAUUGUAAGAAGGCAAAUGCGUAAUUUCUAUUCUCUUUAAUAAUUCAUUUAUGCUCUUAGCAAAUCACGAUGCUGAUGUAACACAUGCUAUCUAUGUGAUUUCUAGAAAAAUAUAGAACUAGCUGGCCUUGAACCAGCUUCAAUAGUAGGGAAUGUUUCUUUGUAAAACUUUAGGGCCUGUUCGCUUCAAAGGAUUUGUAGACUUUCCAAAGGAAUGUUCAUUCCAUAGUUUUCAGUUCCUUCACUGGCGUUCGGAUCAAGGGAAUCAGCUACAGCGUUCCUAUGGAAAAGUUCGUAAACAGUGGUCAUUUUACAGGAAUCUAAACAUCUGGUCUGAACCAAUUUUUGGGCGGAGGCCCGAGGCAAGCCAACUCGCAAGCCAAAUAAAAUAUUCCUUUCGCAUGGGUGGGAGAGAAGCAAUACCAGCAUGCAGCGGUUAGAACACUUGGUGCCUGAAUAAAAUACUCAAUACUGUUGCAUCAGUAGUACGGCUCCUUUGCUCAUACCUCUAGACAAUUUCCUGUGAACCGAACACCCUUUAUUCUUCUAUUUUGCGAACUGCAGGAAUGUACUGUACAGCCAACCGCAUUCCUAUACUUUUUUACAUCCCUUUGUUUUUCUUACCUGUGUAUCGAACGGGGCCUUAGUUGGCUCCCAUAUCUUCCAUACUGCAUUUGGGUGCAUGCUUUAUGCAAUUAACAUUAGUUUUUUUGUAUUCAGGGUGCCAUGCCAACAGAGAUAUUUGCAGCAUGAGGAUGGAUAUUGAUCAGUCCUACCAUACCCCUGCAAAUGAGGCUUUGCAUGCUGGGGGUUCUUGUUGGACAUCCACCAAGAGAACCGACAAUUUGGAAAAAGUAAGGAGCUCUGUUCGGUCUCAGGAUGGUUUGCGUGCAUGAGGUCUUGGAACAGUGGCAUCAGACAAUGGUUAAUAGCAGUAAGAUUUUUGAACCAUUGCCGAAGCUGAGGGUGUUGUCUUAUUGUGUAAUGGAUAACCCUCAUUUAGAUCUGGAGUGAGGUGAUAGGAAUAGUAAGCAACAGUAGGAAACCAACGCAAUCUCUUACUAUAUAGUUGUGUGAAGAUGCUCAUCUAUCCUUCAGCAACUGCAAAUUUCUUAAUCCGAUACAAGAACCAGGUCAUAAGCAUUAGUGACACCAUUUAAUUAAGCAAAUGAUCAUGUUUGUACCUUUCAGCUGAGCCAAAGAUUCUAAUAUAUUUCUGUUUAGAAUAGGAAAUGAUUUUUACGCGAGAAACUGCUUUUUGUAGAAAAAAACUUCUGUUAGCAACUAAAUCAAUUUUUUUUUUGCUCGAACAUAAUAAAUCGUAUUAAGAUUGCAUUGUAGACCAUAUGCUCCAUUGCCUGUUGUUAGUGCUUUCAGAAGUACCCCCAGUCUCAUGCUUUUAUGUAGUACAUUGGCUCUACAAUCUACACUGGCUCACUAGCGAGCUGGAAAUGUUUUGUGUAAAUAUAAUGUAGCCUUUGGCUAUUUCUCAAGCAUCAGAAGUGCCAUAGGAUAGAUGGACUGAUAGCCGAAGUUUACUGACGAUGUAGUCCUGGAUCAUGGUGAACUUGUGCUGCCAUUUUGGCUGGAUGUUAUGUGUGCGCACCUGCAUAUCCAAAACAUUAACGUGUGCAUCAAAGGCGCUCGGUCGCGCGUGCCAUGUCAUCAGGUCGAUCGGGUGUGAGGGUUAGCGAGGAGAAAAAACAGAUCGAAAAAAAGAAGAUGGUCGAUUGGGCAGCGGCCAGAUAACGCCUCCACUGCUUUCUCUUCCCCACAAAGCAAACCCUCACCUCCCAGGUUCACACGCAACCUCCGCUCGUCUCCUUGUUUCUCUCCUCCGCCUCUUCCUCCGGGUGUACUUGCGGCUGCAGCGGGAUGGGAGUAAAGGGGGCGAGCAGGAUGGGUGGCCAGCUGAUUUCUUCGAAGGAUCUGGAGCCCAGGGGCGACGCCGGUGAGUAAUCAACCAGUUUCUCAAUCCUUCUUCCCAUCCACUUCUGAUAUGUCAUUAUGCCCAUCUAGCGGAGGACCGGGAGUGGGGGCGAUGGCCAGGCCUGGUGGUGACGGGACGAUUUAGUGGUCGGAGGCGCUACAUCGGAUGCCAGUCAGUCUGCAACGACUCCAGCGCCAGUGUGCCCCUUGGCACCUCCCGCGCCAAGGUCUAUUUCCUUCCUUCCCCUUGCUCCCCUCGCUCCCACCCUCCCUCCCUCCAUUGUUCUGUGUUGGAUUCAUUCAUCAUGGUUGCUGCUCGCUCCUGUUCAUAUUGAUUGGAUCGGGUCGAUGGCUGCCGCAAAUCAUUGGCGUUAGCGUUGACAUCAAUUGGAUCGGUUCUUGCAUGCAAUGCAGGAUCAGAUUUUGCCUUCCGGCUUGUGAAGCAUCUAUCUCUAGGAUCUGUGCCAUGUUACAAAACCUGAACUUGAGUUGUUUUUCAGUUAACUGAAACACACCAGAGAGGUUUCAGACUUUCAGUUGACUCAAGUAAAGUUAAAUUGAUUGACUAUUUGUACAGGUACUCGUUGUGAUUAGGGUAAAUCGUAACAACAGUUUAGCUUUCCAAUUUUCAUCCUUAUAGCUGCAUGAAUUAGCGAAGUAACUGAUUGUUCCUAUUAACCUGAACUGAAGGUUCUUUAUGUGGCACACGCCUGAACUCACUCAAGUUGAUUCGCUGAAAGAAACCUAACUUGUCGGAACAGAUACUGAUUUAGGAAUUCUAGCAUUAGUUUACCUCUAUCCCCUUACCACCGUGGUCGAGUUACAUUGCGGAUUUGAGCUUCAACUGUUCCGAGCUUAUUGAACUCUCAUGCGAUUGAUGCUUGUACGUUCACUGCAUUUCCCCCUUCCUCUCCAUCCGCUCUUGCCUGCCCGUCGUCUCCUUCAUGUCCCAGCCUCUACAUUUUCCCCUUCCUCUCCAUCUGCUCUUGCCUGCCUGUUGUCUCCUUCAUGUCCCAGCCUCUACAUUUUCCCCCUCCUCUCCAUCCGCUCUUGCCUGCCUGUCAUCUCCUUCAUGUCCCAGCCUCUACAUUUUCCCCUUCCUCUCCAUCUGCUCUUGCUUGCCUGUCGUCUCCUUCAUGUCCCAGCCUCUACCAUGUCAUCCUUGCCGACGAGCUCGGCCUCUGUGGCAGCAGCCCCAUGGCCGCCGGUAUGUGGAAUGAGAAUGUCCAGUUGUUCUUCAACACUAACAGAGGUCCCCUGUUCUUUUCCUAUAGAUGAAUGUUUCAUUCAUUGAUAAUUUGCAGUGCAUGUCUAUCAUAAUUCUGUAAUUUAUUUGUUCUUUGGACUAAUGCAUUGGUAUAAAAAUUAACUAUUGAAGUCACAUCUUGGAGACUACUCUGUUCUAGAAUGCAUGAUGGAAGGUACAUGAGAUCGUUAGUUUAUUAUCUGGUCUUUCACACCCAUUGACAGUGAUCUCAUUUGAAGGUUGGAGGGCCGGGUCUCCUCAGAAUCAUUUGAGAUCGUCACACCAGUUUCUUCUAAAGCUGUAUUUGAAGCUAAAAGGAUGGUGCUUCUGUUCUUUGAUUGAUAUUUUAUCCCAGCAUCAUCGGAAACUAACUACUUGAUAUUUUGGUCUGCUAUCUUACCUGUACUUGUCCCUUCAGAUAUAUGGCACUCAUUUUAUUUUAAAAACAAAGUUGAUUUAUUGAGGAGCUGCAGACUAUCUCAGUUUGCAUAUGCUUUUAGUGUCGAAAAUAAUUUAGCCAUGUUUGAAACUGUAGUUAAUAGCUUCAUCUAAAUAUUGAUCUGUUGUGUUAUUGCAGGGAAUAGAUGUGAAAUGCUCAACUUAGGAGGGAGCAUAGACAAGGUAUUCCACACUUCCCAUCCUCCUCCUAUAGCAAAGGAACAUCCAACAUGUCAUGUGUCGCUCACUAACUAAUAAACAGGAAUCUGAAGUUGGAAAGAAACAACUGGAUAUCAAAGCAAAAGUAUCACGUCUCCUCUUAGAAAUCAGCUAACUAUUCUAAUUCUGGAGACUCUUAUGGCCCUAGAUCUGCCAGGCAGUUGCAAUUGUUGCUUUAGUCAAACUAAAAAAUUGUUAACUUUGCAGUGUAAGCGGACCCUUUAGCAGGAGAGCAACACAACUGCUAGCUUCCCUGUAAGUUCAGUGUGUUUCUUAACUGUAAAGAUCAUUUCCUUAUCAAGUCAUUCUCAAUGUGUGUUAUUUCAUUCUGGUGCCUGCAUGCGGCAGUACAGGAGAUGGAUACGAAGUCCGUGGAGGGUCAGAAUACAAAGCUCUACUAGGUGAUGGAGCUGGAGAAGUUGAGUACUUCCAGUCUCUUGACGAACGAAUCAUUAAAUGAAGGUGUUUUGCUGAUACUCUUCAGUUUGGUUGCUCCAUGAUUAAAGCUAAUUGACUUCCUUUUUUAAUUCUCAUGGAGAAAUACAUAUACGUUACUUUCAGUGAUUCCAUGUAGAGUAUAAGAAGCUGAACAUCUUUCUUUGCAGGGAGUUUCUGAUCCUAUUAAAUGUCAUUGCGGACUGGAGUACAAUGUAGAACUAGGCAGGGAUGCCAUGGGUGCAAGAUGAACUCAUUAUAUAGAUGACCACAGGUCCAGUGUGUUUAAAGUAUGCAUAUGUGCGGCUGCCGUAUGUACAGCUUGACAACUCCAUAUAGAGAAACUGGAUAAAGUGCCAGUGCCGCAGGAGCAAAACAGCGCCCCAGAUGAAACCAACACGGAUGACGAUUAACUUCUCUGACCUUAAUCACAUUAAUGAGUGAACUUUCUUGUAAUCCUUUUUCCUGACACUAUAAGGCAAUGGCUUAGCCUGAUAUUUUGGUAGUUGUGUAAGUUGAAACAUGAUGCUAAGCCGAACAAUUUAUUGUCCUUUUUUCGCAUGAUAUCACAUUUUGGUAGUUGUGAAGCCUAAACCAUGAUGCUUUUGCUACUGCUGUAGUCCCUAAUGAAAUUGUGAGAUAAUGUAGUUAAGCUAAGUUUCUUUUGUUUCAAUAAAACAGAUGCUGGUAGUUGCAUAAGUUGAACCAUGAUGCUGGUUAAGCUAAUCUCAUUGAUUGCACUCCCAAAAAUCACAGGAGCCAUUCAGAAAAAGGUAUGGUAGUAUUAGAAAUUGAUCGUGUAAUGUACUGAUUCAGACAGCUGACUAAAAUUUUAAUUGGGACACUACAGAUUAGUAGAGUUCUUUACUGUUGAAAUUUCUGAGGGGAUUUAUGGAAGGUUUGUUUAUCUCUCCUCCCAUUCCAAAUUUCAGUUUAACAUUUCUAGCACUUUCAUUUUUCCUCAAAGUAUUUUUGUCUGCUUUCGUGGUAAGCAUACUAUAGGUAGUAUUCCAUUAUCACUGAUAUUUUAUAGUUAUAGUUGUACUUCUAAUACAGUUUGUACAGAAAUAUGGUUGUUGAGUAGCAUAUUUUCUUAGGGUGUGUCUAGGGCACAUCUAGAUGUGCUCUAGUUAUUGCACAUCUAAGUGAGUGAAUCAAGCAUAAAGAGAAAAAGAAAAAAGAGAAAGAAAAUAUUCAUACGAAUCUUAAUGUAAGAUCAAUGACAUAUGACUUAGAUGUGCAAUACUUAUGGCACAUCUAGAUGUGCUUUAGCAAAACUGAUUUUGUUACUAGAAGGUACUUGUGUUCCCAUUGAAUGAACUCAAUGCUUAUUUUUUGUUCACAAGCUCCAAUAUGGAAACAAAGUAUGUUGUGGGGAGUGGGAUGUACUACAAACUGAUCUAAAAUAAAGAAAGAGCAAUCUUUGGGUGACAAUUAGAUUCAUGAUGCAGACUCAAUGCAGAUUGUCUUUCCUUUCCAUUUGUUUCUUAUUCUUGUCAUCUGACGUUAUAUGCUUUUGUCUUGAAUUACAUGGAAGGUCAAGAUGACCUCACACAUACAUGUUUCUUUUGUUAUGUUUAUUAAUGUAUGGAUGCCUACUGACCCUAAAUAUAAUUGGUUAAAAUGUUUCCCAAUGAAGUUUCUAUGCUAUAUAAGAAAGUUGGUCUGAAAUAUUUGAAGUCAUAUUCUAUUUUACAGGUUACUCGUAUAGUUUCAUAGCUGAUUCAGUUGCAUUAGUUCAGAACAAGUGUUUGUAUCUAAAGCAAAGAUAGCAUAUUUGUCUAUAUUUAGAUAACUGUAUAUAAGUGUCAUUAAGGAUUAUAAGCAAGAUAAGUGCGCCCGGGACCGCCUCAAGAGACGCGCCCUGGGCGCAUCCCAACCACUAGUAUUUACUAUAUGUGCCUGAGUCGGGAAACAUUUGCUGGCCACUGGUCAGAUAUUUUUCUACCACAUGUAACAAUGGACACGAUGAUUGAACCCUCUUAGACGCACCUUGCAGUAGGAUAUAUGGUUGAUGAGAACCGUCGGGAUGUCAUUUUCAAACUCCCAGAGUUUUUUUGGUGACAUGGGUACAGGCCCUCUGUAUGUCUUCAGGGAUCUGUCCCGCAAGGUAGUGAUCAAGAUAGUUGUGGAGAUCCUAGGAUGCUUUGGCUGGUUAUGUACACGAUAGCGUUGAUUCCUUUUGUGAAAUACGCAUCUAUAGGGCAGAAAGCUAAUGAUAAUGGUGAAGGUAAAAUUUGCAAAGCUGCAUCCGUAAGAGAUAGACACAUAGCCAAAACUGCUUCCGUAAAUAAUGGUUUUAGUUCCAAAGUAUGCAAAUGAUUUUGCUACAUUGGAACUACAACACACUGCUGACAUGCUAUGUUUCUAUCUCUUGGGAGAGGCAGUGAAAUAUAUUAGUUGACUACUCUGUUAAUUUACAAGUAUGUUGCUUGAGGUAACCAUGGCACUAUUCAGACUGAAAUUCAUUUUAUUGCAGAUCACAGGACGAUAUUUCGGGAGUCUAAUGAUCACGGUGCAUUUGGUACAGCAGAGGACCAUAUUUUUGACUGAUUUCAUAUGUUCUACAAAAUUAUAUAUUGGUUAUUCCUUGUUAUUGCGAAUUUAUCUUAUACUAUGUUAGAGACGAUGCUUAUAACUUUAUCAACAAAUAAACCCUUGCGCAGACUGUUCUUCAGGUUCAGUGUUCAAAUUGUUGAAAAGUAAGGUCUAGAUCUGCAGAGUUUGGGUGUUUCUCCUCAUGUGUACAUUCCAUAAAAUGCAUUCGCAUAAAGCAUAGCUCAUAUAAUUCAUCCUGUACAGGAAAGGGAAAGUUGGAUGAUUUAGAGUUGUGUGAAAAUUAUUUCUCUGUUUCACCAUUUUGUUUCUUUCUUAACUCUCACUUGCUCUAUUUUCCAAUCGUAUACUUUUCUUUUGUAUUAUUGUACUAAACGCAGGUUGUUUGUCUAUCACAGAUAUUGAUGGCUUGGGAAAUCAUAUGGCGAUAGGGUCUGAUGAUGUCUGAUGAAGGAAUAGUCACAAGCAGAGAUGGCCUAAAGGCUCUUGGAUACAACUGUUCUUUUAGUAUGCCAUUGACGGACAUAAGUCGAUGUUUUCAGUCAGGAUGAGCUUUGAUUCUAAAUGAUAUUAGAUAUGCACUCAUGUACUUUCUACACGAUUUUUCUUUGGUUUAUUCAGUCUCUUGGGGUGCUCAUAGAAGUAGGGUUGCGUAUGUUCAUACGCUUGUUGUGAGGGUCUUCGUCUGUAUAAGUGUUUCUAAAUAGACUUAAGUUUAUUAAAUUCCAUAUAGGUAAUCCUUAUUAUUGAAUAAUAGUAUUAUUUGAAAGGGUUCAUUUUCUACUCUUUCUGGAAGGAUAUACCAACGACAAGGACUAAGUGGCGCGGCAAAGCGUGCGUGCCCUUCUAGUCUAUGUUACUAAGCUCCCUAGGAUUGAAGGUCUCUUAUUCAGUUAAGGACUUUGAUUUUGAUUAGAUGUCCAAUUUUGACUUGGUCUUAGGCAUGGCCUUCUCUCGAUGGAUGGGUCCCCAUGGUGUAAAUCGA